Molecule: ribosomal RNA, 253 nt
Filed under: uncultured bacterium
Lineage: Bacteria
Description: partial 16S ribosomal RNA
Rfam family: Bacterial small subunit ribosomal RNA
Source: RNAcentral
UACAGAGGGGGCAAGCGUUGUUCGGAAUUACUGGGCGUAAAGAGCGUGUAGGCGGCCUGACAGGUCUGCUGUGAAAACUCGAGGCUCAACCUCGAGAUGUCGGCGGAAACCGUCUGGCUAGAGUCCGGAAGAGGAGAGUGGAAUUCCUGGUGUAGCGGUGAAAUGCGCAGAUAUCAGGAAGAACACCUAUGGCGAAGGCAGCUCUCUGGGACGGUACUGACGCUGAGACGCGAAAGCGUGGGGAGCGAACAGG